CUUUUGGCGAUACAUCCACUAAAACAAGGAUUGAAAC
Desulfobacca acetoxidans DSM 11109 is the source of this 37-nucleotide non-coding RNA. Lineage: Bacteria; Pseudomonadati; Thermodesulfobacteriota; Desulfobaccia; Desulfobaccales; Desulfobaccaceae. The record is from Rfam.